ACCAAUUCUUUGCCCCACACUCCCUCCCUCCAUCCCCCAAUUGGAGACGGUCAAGUUGUGUAAUUAUACAAUUUGUGUGAUUAACAUUAUCUAACUAAAAUGGCGCGCCAUUGUCGUUUACCUUCAGUGUUUUUCUUGAUCUUCGUGCUCUCCUUACAUCAAAAACGGCGUCGUUCACUGUAAAACCUUCAAGCGUGACGUGAAAGCUUUGAAUGAAAUUUAGUCAUCUCUUGGAUGGAGAGUAGUGUAUGCAUGGGUUGGCGAUGAUCCUUGUGGAGAUGGUGAUUUACCCCCAUGGUCCGGUGUUACAUUUAUCACACAGAGUGAUUAUAGAGUAGUUACUGAACUUAUUAAACUUGCAUGGCAGUUUAUGCUGUUUCCAUUGUUGGACUAUUUCCUACUGCAGUGACUAAUCUGUUGGAUCUUACUCGGCUGGAUCUGCAUAACAACAAGCUGACUGGUCCACUUCCUCCUCAAAUUGGCCGUUCGAAGCGUCUGAAAAUAUUAAAUAUAAGGUGGAAUAAGCUGCAAGAUGUCAUUCCUCCUGA
Non-coding RNA from Nicotiana tabacum (common tobacco), 548 nucleotides. The record is from RefSeq and is a predicted model, not a curated record. Lineage: Eukaryota; Viridiplantae; Streptophyta; Magnoliopsida; Solanales; Solanaceae.